GAUGAACGCUGGCGGCGUGCCUAAUACAUGCAAGUCGAGCGAACAGACGAGGAGCUUGCUCCUCUGACGUUAGCGGCGGACGGGUGAGUAACACGUGGAUAACCUACCUAUAAGACUGGGAUAACUUCGGGAAACCGGAGCUAAUACCGGAUAAUAUAUUGAACCGCAUGGUUCAAUAGUGAAAGACGGUUUUGCUGUCACUUAUAGAUGGAUCCGCGCCGCAUUAGCUAGUUGGUAAGGCAACGGCUUACCAAGGCAACGAUGCGUAGCCGACCGGAGAGGGUGAUCGGCCACACUGGAACUGAGACACGGUCCAGACUCCUACGGGAGGCAGCAGUAGGGAAUCUUCCGCAAUGGGCGAAAGCCUGACGGAGCAACGCCGCGUGAGUGAUGAAGGUCUUCGGAUCGUAAAACUCUGUUAUUAGGGAAGAACAAAUGUGUAAGUAACUAUGCACGUCUUGACGGUACCUAAUCAGAAAGCCACGGCUAACUACGUG
This 497-nucleotide ribosomal RNA is filed under the name uncultured bacterium. RNAcentral's name for it is "partial 16S ribosomal RNA". It matches the Rfam family "Bacterial small subunit ribosomal RNA", at positions 28 to 507 of the family's 1533-position model. The record is from RNAcentral.